CUUGACAGUAAGGAAAGGAGGGGGGACUGUGGUUUCAUGGGGAAGGAAAUAAGAAGAGUUGGAUUUAAGUCAAGAUGAAAAAACUAUAUUGAAGUGGGUGCCUGAAGACUUCAAUGGUAUAUAUAACAAAAUGUCUGAUCUCCAACGGAAAUGAAUUAGGGCCAUAAGUGUUUAUGGUUUGUUAUCUGUGUUGGUGAAGUUGAGGUGAAUAAAGCAGCAUAUAUGAAUACUCUCCAGCUAUCUGUUACACCCUGUCAACUAAAAUGUCUAGAGGGAACACUCUGGUGUGAGGCUCUUCACCAUGGUCCAGACCAUGACUUCUGAAGCUGCAGGAAAAUAAGGAGACUGAGGAAUGCCAAGGUAUUCUUCCCCGCUGAAAAAUUUCUUCAAGUGAAGAAGCACAUUAGAAGCCUCCCUGACUUUUGCCACUACCAUUGAAGUGUUGCACUUUUUAAAUCUAAUGCAAGAUUAUAGGUAAAUCAGAAAAGCUCCUGAAAUAAUAGACACAUCGAAAAGAAUAUGGAUAAUGGAAGAUAUGCUGGACUUGACAUCAAAUCAGAAGACCAGAAUUUGAAGGUUAGUUUCAGUACUUAUUUGUAUGACCGUGAGCACUUUAUUUGCCCAAGUCUCAACUAUCUCUUCUAUUACAUAAGGUUAAAUGAGGUUGAAAAUUGCUCCUGUGGGUCCCUGCCAGAGAGAUCAGACAGCCAACAUCUCGGACAGCCCAUGGGGUUGCUGAAAGGCAAGACUGGAGAAGGCCCCACAUGGCCCACCUCUCCUUGUUCCCAGAGCUGCAGUGCCCACCCUGUAGCAUCUGUCACCUCUUCUGGAUCCCUUCCUGUCUCUCCAUCCUGAGUUCUUCCCGGAGAGGCAGUGUGAGGAGUACCAACCUGGACCCUGCUGCCGAAGGAAUGCAAAUCCUGACUCUGCCCUUUGCAGCAUAGCCUUGGACAAGCUGAGGACCUGCCCCUUCCCUGCCUCAUCCUCCUCUAUAAACUGAGGAUAGUAACAGCACACCUCACCCCGUCACAAGGAUUAAAUGAGUCAAUAUGUACCUAGGGCUGGGAGGCUGCCUCGAAUAGAGCAAGGGUGAAGCAAAUGCGAUUAGCCAUUAUCACAAUAGCAGCCUUCCUGGAUCUCUCUCUCCUCUGAACACCAUACUCUCCCCACAACACACACACACUCUAGAGUUCUAAAAGGGCUGAGUUUUGUUGCACUUCCAUGCAACUUCCUCUGAAAAGGACUGAUCUUUGAAAUGCUAAGGAUUAUCCUCAGUAUUGGUGAUUAUGAUUCCUUUUUUUUCCCUCAGCACUAUGGGUUAAACCCAGGGCCUUCACACUGAGCUACAUCCCCAGCCUUCUUUUUAUUUUCCAUCUUGACACAGG
This 1385-nucleotide long non-coding RNA is filed under the name Heterocephalus glaber (naked mole-rat). Its description in RNAcentral is "lncRNA (ENSHGLG00100047576.1)". Lineage: Eukaryota; Metazoa; Chordata; Mammalia; Rodentia; Bathyergidae. The record is from RNAcentral.